RNAcentral lists this non-coding RNA (88 nucleotides) under Arsenophonus endosymbiont of Aleurodicus floccissimus. RNAcentral describes it as "sRNA-Xcc1". It matches the Rfam family "sRNA-Xcc1". Lineage: Bacteria; Pseudomonadati; Pseudomonadota; Gammaproteobacteria; Enterobacterales; Morganellaceae. The record is from Rfam by way of RNAcentral.
GGUCGGGUAGCGAACGGAAUAUACAAUACCCUUUUGGGGAAAACUGUUGGCCGUCCUAUGUGGUGUUCAAGUACCCGACCGCCCAUCU